Molecule: ribosomal RNA, 253 nt
Filed under: uncultured bacterium
Lineage: Bacteria
Description: partial 16S ribosomal RNA
Rfam family: Bacterial small subunit ribosomal RNA
Source: RNAcentral
UACGUAGGGGGCGAGCGUUGUCCGGAUUUACUGGGCGUAAAGCGCGUGUAGGCGGUCUGUCAAGUCCGGGGUGAAAGGCGGGGGCUCAACCCCCGAGCUGCGCCGGAAACUGGUAGACUUGAGUGUCGGAGAGGGGAGUGGAAUUCUCGGUGUAGCGGUGAAAUGCGUAGAGAUCGAGAGGAACACCCGUGGCGAAGGCGGCUCCCUGGCCGAACACUGACGCUGAGACGCGAAAGCGCGGGGAGCGAACGGG